Paramisgurnus dabryanus is the source of this 815-nucleotide non-coding RNA. The record is from RefSeq and is a predicted model, not a curated record. Lineage: Eukaryota; Metazoa; Chordata; Actinopteri; Cypriniformes; Cobitidae.
ACGUCGUGGAAAAUGGACUACCUUUCCCAUAAUGCAACUGGUCAUGAUCAGGAACUUCCGCGAAUUUCAAACCCCUGCUGUGUACUGGACGGAGGACGCGCGAUCUUUUGUCUUUUUGGAGUUUUAUAUAACACAGUAAGUAAAAGAAGCAACAUGCAUGACGGGGAUGAUAAAAUAAUCAAUAAGAAGUUUGAAUCUUUAAAAAUAAAUGAAUGCUGAACCCAAAGAAGCCAACCAAAGAUGAGAUGUUUUCUGUACCAAACCACAAAUCACCAUUUGCUGGUAAUCAUAACAGAUAGCCAAAAGUCAUGUACCACACUUUGUCAACAAUAAAUGUUGUUUCUGCAAUCUGGAUAAAGAAUAAUAUAUUACUGCCUCUUGGAGAACAGCCGACCGUACUCCAGACAGAGACAAAGACGUGAGGACAUCCAUUGCUUUUGUAAAGGAAUUUUAUACCCAAGAGUUAUAAAUGUUGUCUUUAUUGUUUGUCUUAAUCUUUUAUUUGACAUUUUAACAAUAUAAAGUUUACUUGUACUUGUUUUUUGUUUCUAAAAGUCAUGUACCACACUUUGUCAACAAUGCAUGUUGUUCCUGCAAUCUGGAUGAAGAAUAAUAUAUUACUGCCUCUUGGGAAAACAGCAGACUGUACUCCAGACAGAGACAAAGACAUGAAGACAUCCAUUGCUUUUAAGUCCUAUACCAGACUAUGUUGUUCCAGCUGUCUGGGUAAAGACUGAUACAUUACUGCCUCUUGGAGAACAGCAAACCAUUCUCCAGACAGAGACAAAGACAUGGACAUCAAAACAGAAAACAAA